Molecule: ribosomal RNA, 390 nt
Filed under: uncultured bacterium
Lineage: Bacteria
Description: bacterial SSU rRNA
Rfam family: Bacterial small subunit ribosomal RNA
Source: RNAcentral
AUUGAACGCUGGCGGCAUGCCUUACACAUGCAAGUCGAACGGCAGCACGGGGGCAACCCUGGUGGCGAGUGGCGGACGGGUGAGUAAUGCAUCGGAACGUGCCCUGAAGUGGGGGAUAACGCAGCGAAAGCUACGCUAAUACCGCAUAUUCUGUGAGCAGGAAAGCAGGGGAUCGCAAGACCUUGCGCUUUGGGAGCGGCCGAUGUCGGAUUAGCUAGUUGGUGGGGUAAAGGCCUACCAAGGCGACGAUCCGUAGCGGGUCUGAGAGGAUGAUCGCCACACUGGGACUGAGACACGGCCCAGACUCCUACGGGAGGCAGCAGUGGGGAAUUUGGACAAUGGGCGAAAGCCUGAUCAGCCAUGCCGCGUGAGUGAAGAAGGCCUCGGGUU